UCCCCGCAUCCCAGCGCUGGCUCUCCUCUUCCCGGGAGAGCGGAGCCAUGGAGCACAACGUGUGCUGACCCUCUGCCCGGCUGGGCCCACGAGGCUUCUCUUGUCACAGCAAGCACUCGGCGCUGGAACGCGGUGGAGGAGUCACUCAAAGGGUCGUCACUAGUUCCCAAAUGCCCCUUUGGGAGGCCUGGCCCGUGAAGGAGUGGGCACCAGCUCCAGGCUGGGCGAUGGUAUUUGGAGUUCCCUUGAAACAGCUUAUAAUAAUUGUGGAACUCCCUGGGAAGUGGAACUGGCAGCUGGGAAGUCUGAGCCGUCCACCUAUGCUAUCCAGGCAGGACGAUGGAGAAAUUCCCAGUUCUUCAUUACUGUUUCUUAUGACAGAGGACCCAACCUCUAAAACACGGCUAUCAUCAAAUGGACAGCAGUGCUGCUGUCAGAGGGUCUAACUAGGGAUGAACGUCCAUGGUGCAUGGCUCAAGUACCAGUAUGUGCCACAGGAAAUUAGGAAAUUUCCUGAGCAAUCACAGACUGCACAUGCAGGCUUAACUUGUCUCUGGUAGUUUUGAUCAGAUGGUUAUGUAGAUACCCUUCAUUCUACCACACCUGACUGGAGAGUUCUGAGUGAAUAAGGAAGAAAAGUAACAAUUACCUGGAAACAAUUCUUUCAAAGUGGAAUGGAAAUGAAUGGGGCAAAAGAGGAGGGAAUGAUACCUCUGAUACACUUGAGGUUGCAAAGGACAAGAGUAGGUUCUGGUGGAAAUGUCCUGGUGGAAUUGUCAAGAGCCUCCAAACUGUCUGUCCAUAAACCGAGUGGUCCAUAAACCACACUGAACUCAUUUUCAUUUGGUUUCACUCUUUUGCCCCACAAGCGAAUGUGGCCAUGAAUAAUGCAGUUUACUUCAGUGCUGUCACUGCAGCAUGGGGUUAAUAUAUACAUAAUCGUAAGGUGGUAUAGAGCUAAAUACAUACAGUUCCAGCUGGAUGUCUAAUGCUGUAAAGCCAAAAGAGCACAUCACAUAAUCUAGUCUGACUUCAACCAGAUGGCUGCUCAUUGUAAAUUAAUGGCUGAUUCAGGAAAUAAGCCUGAAAGGGACCCUCUGUACCUUCUAAUGUAAACCUUUGCUGUCACAUUCAACUCAAGCAACUAAAUAAAGAAGAAUUAAUC
Molecule: long non-coding RNA, 1165 nt
Organism: Parus major (Great Tit)
Lineage: Eukaryota; Metazoa; Chordata; Aves; Passeriformes; Paridae
Exons: 2
Source: RefSeq, a predicted model, not a curated record